This 396-nucleotide ribosomal RNA is filed under the name uncultured bacterium. RNAcentral's name for it is "partial 16S ribosomal RNA". It matches the Rfam family "Bacterial small subunit ribosomal RNA", at positions 338 to 731 of the family's 1533-position model. The record is from RNAcentral.
CCUACGGGUGGCAGCAGUGAGGAAUAUUGGUCAAUGGUCGGAAGACUGAACCAGCCAAGCCGCGUGAGGGAGGAAGGUACUGUGUAUCGUAAACCUCUUUUGUAAGGGAACAAAGACUGGGACGCGUCCCCGUCUGAGUGUACCUGAAGAAUAAGGAUCGGCUAACUCCGUGCCAGCAGCCGCGGUAAUACGGAGGAUGCGAGCGUUAUCCGGAUUUAUUGGGUUUAAAGGGUGUGCAGGCGGUCUGUUAAGUCAGCGGUGAAAGCCCGGGGCUCAACCACGGAAUUGCCGUUGAAACUGGGAGGCUAGAGGAGGAGAGAGGUAGGCGGAAUGCGUGGGGUAGCGGGGAAAUGCAUAGAGAUCACGCAGAACCCCGAUUGCGAAGGCAGCAUGCCA